Molecule: ribosomal RNA, 484 nt
Filed under: uncultured bacterium
Lineage: Bacteria
Description: bacterial SSU rRNA
Rfam family: Bacterial small subunit ribosomal RNA
Source: RNAcentral
AGGCCUAAAACAUGCAAGUCGAACGCUGUAGCAAUACGGAGUGGCAGACGGGUGAGUAACACGUGGGAACGUGCCUUUUGGUUCGGAACAACUGAGGGAAACUUCAGCUAAUACCGGAUAAGCCCUUCGGGGGAAAGAUUUAUCGCCAAAAGAUCGGCCCGCGUCUGAUUAGCUAGUUGGUGGGGUAACGGCCCACCAAGGCUACGAUCAGUAGCUGGUCUGAGAGGAUGAUCAGCCACACUGGGACUGAGACACGGCCCAGACUCCUACGGGAGGCAGCAGUUAGGAAUCUUGGACAAUGGGCGCAAGCCUGAUCCAGCCAUGCCGCGUGAGUGAUGAAGCUCUUAGGGUUGUAAAGCUCUUUCAGCGGGGAAGAUAAUGACGGUACCCGCAGAAGAAGCCCCGGCUAACUUCGUGCCAGCAGCCGCGGUAAUACGAAGGGGGCUAGCGUUGCUCGGAAUCACCUGGGCGUAAGGCGCACGUA